Molecule: ribosomal RNA, 440 nt
Filed under: uncultured bacterium
Lineage: Bacteria
Description: partial 16S ribosomal RNA
Rfam family: Bacterial small subunit ribosomal RNA
Source: RNAcentral
CCUACGGGAGACAGCAGUGGGGGAUAUUGCACAAUGGGGGGAACCCUGAUGCAGCGACGCCGCGUGGGUGAAGGAGCGUUUCGGCGCGUAAAGCCCUAUCGGCAGGGAAGAAGAUGACGGUACCUGACCAAGAAGCCCCGGCUAACUACGUGCCAGCAGCCGCGGUAAUACGUCGGGGGCAAGCGUUAUCCGGAUUUACUGGGUGUAAAGGGGGCGCAGACGGCAAUGCAAGCCAGGAGGGAAAGCCCGGGGCCCAACCCCGGGACUGCUCUUGGAACUGCAUGGCUGGAGUAGAGGAGGGGCAGGCGGAAUUCCUGGUGUAGCGGUGAAAUGCGUAGAUAUUAGGAGGAACACCGGUGGCGAAGGCGGCCUGCUGGACUGUGACUGACGUUGAGGCCCGAAGGCGUGGGGAGCGAACAGGAUUAGAUACCCGGGUAGUC